Molecule: long non-coding RNA, 1136 nt
Organism: Nyctereutes procyonoides (raccoon dog)
Lineage: Eukaryota; Metazoa; Chordata; Mammalia; Carnivora; Canidae
Exons: 5
Source: RefSeq, a predicted model, not a curated record
CAAUGAUUGUAAAGACAUUAUCGCCUUGGUUCAAAUCUGAAUCAUUUAUAUCAUAUAUCAAUGAGGAAGAACCAUAAGCCUGGGACUAAGUGUGUUCUCAUGACUCCGAUCUUUCUACUCACUUGCUCCAUAGCCUUGGGAACCCCUCUCUUGACAACUUCACAAGAUGGUGGCCACACAAAAUGGAAAGAAGAGAGACAGGAUUCCUGCCUCCCAGGGCCUAUAGUCCUAAUGGGAAGAGAUGAGAAAAUGGAAAAUGAAGACACAGGUGUAAGAAAAUUUUCUGAGGAAGCCAAGUCUCUACCUGGCCCGGAGGGACAAGGAGAACUGCUGAACAUCAUUAGGUGACCAUUAAUUUUAUCCUUUAAAGAGCUACAUGCUAAUGAUGAGUGAGUUGGAAAACACACCAAUCAGUCACAAUUGUCACUGACAUAUUGAGAAAGUAUAUGACAUCAAACUAGGUACCUGAAUGCCAAUUUUGUUGUUGUUAUAACCUCUGAACUGUACUGAAAUCAACAUCUGAGCAGUCAGCCCCUGACUCGGCAUUUGGAUUAUGGAAAAAGAAGAAUCUCCCCAGGAGGUGGACAUGGGGAAGUUACAUGGAGAACACCAGGCUGGGGAACUACUCCAAGAGUACGGGUUAAUCAAGAAGCACUUCCCAUUCCCCAAAUAGAGGAACAUCACAACAUCUGCCAGUUCAUAGACCUGUACAUCAAGAUGAGUCACAUCCAGAUCUGAUGUGGACACCACUGAGCAUUACCAUCCAAUAUAGAGACAUUCUUGCAUCACCCACAGCCCCUAGAUUUUCAGCUGGUGACUAAGUGUCUACAUAGAAUUUUUGGUUUGUCUCCCAUGGGAUGGCAUGAGAGUACUUUGCCUGUGUAUGGGGGAGAAUGACUUAAUCUGUUUUGUUCACUAUUAUAUUCCCAGGCCCUGUAAGAUCAGAAGGAGUGUUCAGUAAAUGUUCAUUAAAUAAAAUGAAUGUCGCCUGCCAAGUGUCAUUUACCUUUAGUGGCAUGCCUUCCACCACUAGAAGCUGGAAGAGGGGAGAAAAGGUUCUCCCUAGUAUCUCUGAAGGAAGCAUGGCCUUACCAACAUCUUUAUUUCAGCAUAGCAAUACAGAUUUCAGACUUCAG